CCUACGGGAGGCAGCAGUGAGGAAUAUUGGUCAAUGGACGAGAGUCUGAACCAGCCAAGUAGCGUGAAGGAUGACUGCCCUAUGGGUUGUAAACUUCUUUUAUAAAGGAAUAAAACGAGGCACGUGUGCCUUUUUGCAUGUACUUUAUGAAUAAGGAUCGGCUAACUCCGUGCCAGCAGCCGCGGUAAUACGGAGGAUCCGAGCGUUAUCCGGUUUUAUUGGGUUUAAAGGGAGCGUAGAUGGGUUGUUAAGUCAGUUGUGAAAGUUUGCGGCUCAACCGUAAAAUUGCAAUUGAUACUGGUAGUCUUGAGUACAGUUGAGGUAGGCGGAAUUCGUGGUGUAGCGGUGAAAUGCGUAGAUAUCACGAAGAACCCCGAUUGCGAAGGCAGCUUACUAAGCUGUGACUGACAUUGAUGCUCGAAAGUGUGGGUAUCAAACAGGAUUAGAUACCCUUGUAGUC
RNAcentral lists this ribosomal RNA (460 nucleotides) under uncultured bacterium. RNAcentral describes it as "partial 16S ribosomal RNA". It matches the Rfam family "Bacterial small subunit ribosomal RNA", at positions 338 to 795 of the family's 1533-position model. The record is from RNAcentral.